GAUGAACGCCGGCGGCGUGCCUAAUACAUGCAAGUCGAGCGAACAGACGAGGAGCUUGCUCCUCUGACGUUAGCGGCGGACGGGUGAGUAACACGUGGAUAACCUACCUAUAAGACUGGGAUAACUUCGGGAAACCGGAGCUAAUACCGGAUAAUAUAUUGAACCGCAUGGUUCAAUAGUGAAAGACGGUUUUGCUGUCACUUAUAGAUGGAUCCGCGCCGCAUUAGCUAGUUGGUAAGGUAACGGCUUACCAAGGCAACGAUGCGUAGCCGACCUGAGAGGGUGAUCGGCCACACUGGAACUGAGACCCGGUCCAGACUCCUACGGGAGGCAGCAGUAGGGAAUCUUCCGCAAUGGGCGAAAGCUUGACGGAGCAACGCCGCGUGAGUGAUGAAGGUCUUCGGAUCGUAAAACUCUGUUAUUAGGGAAGAACAAAUGUGUAAGUAACUAUGCACGUCUUGACGGUACCUAAUCAGAAAGCCACGGCUAACUACGU
RNAcentral lists this ribosomal RNA (496 nucleotides) under uncultured bacterium. RNAcentral describes it as "partial 16S ribosomal RNA". It matches the Rfam family "Bacterial small subunit ribosomal RNA", at positions 28 to 506 of the family's 1533-position model. The record is from RNAcentral.